RNAcentral lists this ribosomal RNA (497 nucleotides) under uncultured bacterium. Its description in RNAcentral is "partial 16S ribosomal RNA". It matches the Rfam family "Bacterial small subunit ribosomal RNA", at positions 28 to 507 of the family's 1533-position model. The record is from RNAcentral.
GAUGAACGCUGGCGGCGUGCCUAAUACAUGCAAGUCGAGCGAACAGACGAGGAGCUUGCUCCUCUGACGUUAGCGGCGGACGGGUGAGUAACACGUGGAUAACCUACCUAUAAGACUGGGAUAACUUCGGGAAACCGGAGCUAAUACCGGAUAAUAUAUUGAACCGCAUGGUUCAAUAGUGAAAGACGGUUUUGCUGUCACUUAUAGAUGGAUCCGCGCCGCAUUAGCUAGUUGGUAAGGUAACGGCUUACCAAGGCAACGAUGCGUAGCCGACCUGAGAGGGGGAGCGGCCACACUGGAGCUGAGACAGGGUCCAGAGUACUACGGGAGGCAGCAGUAGGGAAGCUUCAGCAAUGGGCGAAAGCCGGACGGCACAACGCCGCGUGAGUGAUGAAGGUAUUCGUAUCUUAAAACUCUGUUAUUAGGGAAGAACAAAUGUGUAAGUAACUAUGCACGUCUUGAGGGUACCUAAUCAGAAAGCCACGGCUAACUACGUG